UUGUGGAGGAGGACGCCGAAGGUGGGGCUAAUGACUGGGGUGAAGUCGUAACAAGGUAGCCGUACCGGAAGGUGCGGCUGGAUCACCUCCUAACAGGGAGACAACAAAAUGUUUAAUAUUAUUAUUUUGUCACCUUAGGUCGAUCGGUAUCUCACGUUCUUAAUUUAUUAAGAAUUUCAUUUCCUAAGUUUUUCUAGGUCACACCCAUUAUUUUCCUGGGCCAUUAGCUCAGGUGGUUAGAGCGCACCCCUGAUAAGGGUGAGGUCCCUGGUUCAAGUCCAGGAUGGCCCAUAUCUCUAUGUUGGGGGUAUAGCUCAGUUGGUAGAGCGCCUGCUUUGCAAGCAGGAUGUCAGCGGUUCGAGUCCGCUUACCUCCACUGAUCACCACCUCUUCCAUAAUCGAUAGAAAGGAAAUGUUUUGAGUUGUGAUCUAAUUCUGAACGAAUCUAGCUUCCUAAUGAAAUUAUUAAGAUGCUGGACUCAUUGAAUUAAUUUCAUUGUUUUCAGAGAACCUUGACAACUGCAUAGAUUAUUUUUAAAGACAAUAAGCAUCUUUAAUGAUGCAGAUUUAUUAUUUGUGCGAAUGCAUUAAUAACAAUUCUAUUAAGCUGAUGCUUCAAUUUUGAAGUUAUUGGUCAAGCUACAA
Molecule: unclassified non-coding RNA, 645 nt
Filed under: uncultured Prochlorococcus sp.
Lineage: Bacteria; Bacillati; Cyanobacteriota; Cyanophyceae; Synechococcales; Prochlorococcaceae
Description: partial 16S-23S ribosomal RNA intergenic spacer; may also contain 16S ribosomal RNA and 23S ribosomal RNA
Rfam family: tRNA (bases 304-376)
Source: RNAcentral